RNAcentral lists this non-coding RNA (24 nucleotides) under Arabidopsis thaliana (thale cress). Lineage: Eukaryota; Viridiplantae; Streptophyta; Magnoliopsida; Brassicales; Brassicaceae. The record is from RNAcentral.
CAGAAUUGUGAAUAUACUAACCGC